GGUCUUGUAGCUCAGCUGGGAGAGCAUCACGUCGACAACGUGGGGGUCGCAGGUUCGAGCCCUGUCGAGACCA
This is a transfer RNA of 73 nucleotides. It matches the Rfam family "tRNA". Rfam says of the family: Transfer RNA (tRNA) molecules are approximately 80 nucleotides in length. Their secondary structure includes four short double-helical elements and three loops (D, anti-codon, and T loops). The record is from Rfam.